GCUGUUCCCGCCAGUAAUCAUCCUUAUCAUCCCCUUCCUCCUCACCCUCUUCUCCCUCCUCCUCCUCCUCUUCCCCACCCCCACCACUGCCACCACCUUCCCUCCGCUUCUCUCGCCUCUUCCUCCUACCAAUGGACCGUUUUUCCAGCUGGGCCUUGAGCCGAGCAAUCUCUUCCUGGAAUUCUCGAAGGAGGGCAUCCUUGGGGUCCUCAUUGACCCUUGGUUUGUUCUUAAUGUUUUUGGCACGGUUGGCAUAUCGCAGAGUGGUCAGAGUCUCUUCUACGUUGUAAGAGGCAGGCCCCACGUUGGCCACCAUCACAGUCUUGGCAUUGCCACCAAGGGAAUCUUGGAGGAGCCUGGUAAGCUUUGAGUCCCGAUAUGGAAUGUGAGUGCUUUUGCCGUCCACUAGAGCAGAGAUGACAUUACCCAAAGCGGAAAGGGAGAGGUUGAUCUUGGUAGCUUCUUUUAAUCUCUCCCCUUGUGCGCCGGUCUUGGCUUGCCGUUCGCUGCCAGCAAGAUCUACAAGGUUCAAUUUUCCUACACGGAUGUGGUUUUCACCAUCGAGGCCCACCUCGCUGCACUCAAUAGUGAUAACGAAAAUUGCAUGAGAACGCGAGCUGUGCUCGUUCAUGUUGGUAGCACCGACAGAACGGUUCUGGUUCCCCACAUUCAUCACAUGCUCUAUCUCCUUCACACUCUUGGUGACAAAGGAAGACAGGUCUUUCACAUACACUCCUGUGUCAGGCCUCUCUUUGAGCUCAAGCCUUUUGGUCUGAUCCUUUGAGAGCAAAUCUCGGAUCUCCUCCUGGUAGAUCUCUAAGUAAGAAGCCCUGACCAGGUAUUGUUGAUUCUGGGAUCGAGAGAUGUGGGUGAAGAUAUGGUCAAAUGAGUUAGGAAUGACUCCUCUUUUUUCAGGGUCACCACGGAUUCCUUCCAUGGUGUAGGUUUUUCCUGUCCCAGUUUGUCCAUAGGCAAAAAUGGUUCCAUUGAAACCUUGCAGGACAGAGUCAACAAGUGGUCGGAACGUCUCAUCGUACAGUUCAAACUGCUUGGCAUUCCAGUCAUAGACGGCAUCAAAGGUGAAGGUCUUGGGCAUUUCAUGGGCCGUCCCUUUGGGGUUCUUCACAGACACCUGCCCCAGCUUAACAUCCACAUCCACCACUUUGUCAUACGAAGCAGCCUUUUCCUUGCCAUUCAUGGGCCGACAGCGAACCACCACCCUGACUGACUCUGAGCUUUUCAACUUUGACAUGAUGAACUCUGAUCCAGUCAAAUCUUGAGAAGUGUCAAUUCAAA
This 1296-nucleotide long non-coding RNA is filed under the name Homo sapiens (human). Its description in RNAcentral is "HSALNT0400702". Lineage: Eukaryota; Metazoa; Chordata; Mammalia; Primates; Hominidae. The record is from RNAcentral.